This is a long non-coding RNA of Spea bombifrons (plains spadefoot toad), 371 nucleotides long. RefSeq lists it as uncharacterized. The transcript is spliced from 3 exons. NCBI's taxonomy places the organism in Eukaryota, Metazoa, Chordata, Amphibia, Anura, Pelobatidae. The record is from RefSeq and is a predicted model, not a curated record.
CCGGUUCAGGACCGUCACGGAAAAACGGUCACUUAACGACCUUUGACGGUCCUGAACAGUCAAAAAAUUAAAUAAGCUUAGAAAUCUCCAGACCCUCUAGAGAACUCUGGCUCCACUUGCAAGUUGAAUACAGGUACUGCAUUCAACCAUGCAAGUCAAUGGAGCCCAGCUUUCUAAUCACAAUGUGAUUAGUAAAAUAUUCAAAAAAUAAUAAAAAAAAAAAGGAAAUUUUUUUUUACAAAAAAUGUGCUAACAUUUAAAAAUAAUUAUGCAGUGAUGUCACUAGAGGAACCAUCCAGUACCAGCAAAAUGAUUAAAAAAAUAAAAAAUAAAGUUUAUUAUUUUGAGCAAGUGCUAACAUUUCUCAAAAA